This 1511-nucleotide ribosomal RNA is filed under the name Lactiplantibacillus plantarum. RNAcentral's name for it is "partial 16S ribosomal RNA". It matches the Rfam family "Bacterial small subunit ribosomal RNA". Lineage: Bacteria; Bacillati; Bacillota; Bacilli; Lactobacillales; Lactobacillaceae. The record is from RNAcentral.
UCCUGGCUCAGGACGAACGCUGGCGGCGUGCCUAAUACAUGCAAGUCGAACGAACUCUGGUAUUGAUUGGUGCUUGCAUCAUGAUUUACAUUUGAGUGAGUGGCGAACUGGUGAGUAACACGUGGGAAACCUGCCCAGAAGCGGGGGAUAACACCUGGAAACAGAUGCUAAUACCGCAUAACAACUUGGACCGCAUGGUCCGAGCUUGAAAGAUGGCUUCGGCUAUCACUUUUGGAUGGUCCCGCGGCGUAUUAGCUAGAUGGUGGGGUAAUGGCUCACCAUGGCAAUGAUACGUAGCCGACCUGAGAGGGUAAUCGGCCACAUUGGGACUGAGACACGGCCCAAACUCCUACGGGAGGCAGCAGUAGGGAAUCUUCCACAAUGGACGAAAGUCUGAUGGAGCAACGCCGCGUGAGUGAAGAAGGGUUUCGGCUCGUAAAACUCUGUUGUUAAAGAAGAACAUAUCUGAGAGUAACUGUUCAGGUAUUGACGGUAUUUAACCAGAAAGCCACGGCUAACUACGUGCCAGCAGCCGCGGUAAUACGUAGGUGGCAAGCGUUGUCCGGAUUUAUUGGGCGUAAAGCGAGCGCAGGCGGUUUUUUAAGUCUGAUGUGAAAGCCUUCGGCUCAACCGAAGAAGUGCAUCGGAAACUGGGAAACUUGAGUGCAGAAGAGGACAGUGGAACUCCAUGUGUAGCGGUGAAAUGCGUAGAUAUAUGGAAGAACACCAGUGGCGAAGGCGGCUGUCUGGUCUGUAACUGACGCUGAGGCUCGAAAGUAUGGGUAGCAAACAGGAUUAGAUACCCUGGUAGUCCAUACCGUAAACGAUGAAUGCUAAGUGUUGGAGGGUUUCCGCCCUUCAGUGCUGCAGCUAACGCAUUAAGCAUUCCGCCUGGGGAGUACGGCCGCAAGGCUGAAACUCAAAGGAAUUGACGGGGGCCCGCACAAGCGGUGGAGCAUGUGGUUUAAUUCGAAGCUACGCGAAGAACCUUACCAGGUCUUGACAUACUAUGCAAAUCUAAGAGAUUAGACGUUCCCUUCGGGGACAUGGAUACAGGUGGUGCAUGGUUGUCGUCAGCUCGUGUCGUGAGAUGUUGGGUUAAGUCCCGCAACGAGCGCAACCCUUAUUAUCAGUUGCCAGCAUUAAGUUGGGCACUCUGGUGAGACUGCCGGUGACAAACCGGAGGAAGGUGGGGAUGACGUCAAAUCAUCAUGCCCCUUAUGACCUGGGCUACACACGUGCUACAAUGGAUGGUACAACGAGUUGCGAACUCGCGAGAGUAAGCUAAUCUCUUAAAGCCAUUCUCAGUUCGGAUUGUAGGCUGCAACUCGCCUACAUGAAGUCGGAAUCGCUAGUAAUCGCGGAUCAGCAUGCCGCGGUGAAUACGUUCCCGGGCCUUGUACACACCGCCCGUCACACCAUGAGAGUUUGUAACACCCAAAGUCGGUGGGGUAACCUUUUAGGAACCAGCCGCCUAAGGUGGGACAGAUGAUUAGGGUGAAGUCGUAACA